UACAGAGGUCUCAAGCGUUGUUCGGAUUCAUUGGGCGUAAAGGGUGCGUAGGUGGCGGGGCAAGUUUGGUGUGAAAUCCCGGGGCUCAACCCCGGAACUGCACUGAAUACUGCCUUGCUAGAGCACUGGAGAGGGAACUGGAAUUUACGGUGUAGCAGUGAAAUGCGUAGAGAUCGUAAGGAAGACCAGUGGCGAAGGCGAGUUUCUGGACAGUUACUGACGCUGAGGCACGAAGGCCAGGGGAGCAAACGGG
This 253-nucleotide ribosomal RNA is filed under the name uncultured bacterium. Its description in RNAcentral is "partial 16S ribosomal RNA". It matches the Rfam family "Bacterial small subunit ribosomal RNA", at positions 524 to 776 of the family's 1533-position model. The record is from RNAcentral.